AUUUAAAUAGUUUAAGAAAAAUAUUGAUUUGUGGAGUCAAAGUUAUAUAAAAUAUUUUAAAUA
This 63-nucleotide transfer RNA is filed under the name Platystomos albinus. RNAcentral describes it as "tRNA-His". Lineage: Eukaryota; Metazoa; Arthropoda; Insecta; Coleoptera; Anthribidae. The record is from RNAcentral.